Molecule: non-coding RNA, 314 nt
Organism: Pelobates cultripes (western spadefoot toad)
Lineage: Eukaryota; Metazoa; Chordata; Amphibia; Anura; Pelobatidae
Source: the annotation of a GenBank genome assembly
CACAGCUUAUACACACAUGUAAUGCUGAAAGAUAUAGCUCCCUGCUGACAGUCCGCACUCUCUGCUCAUUCAUACACAUUGCUGACAGUUAGCACCCCCUACUCAUUCAUACACACUGCUGACAGUCAGCGCUCCCUACUCAUUCAUACAUAUUGCUGACAGUCAGCACUCCCUACUCAUUCAUACACUUUGCUGACAGUCAGCCCUCCAUACUCAUUCAUGCACACUGACAGUCAGCACUCCAUACUUAUUCAUACACUUUUCUGACAGUCAGUACUCUCUGCUUAUUCAUACACAUUGCUGACAGUCAAUAC